AGAUUCCCAAGUAAUCUUAUAAAUAGACCUAAUAUCAUGUAGGAUGCACUUGCAGAACAAAACUAAUAUAUUUUUCUAUUCUAUAUACCUAUAAAUAUCUUGACUACAUGGAUAAGCCUUCUUGGAAAAAGUCCCAUUCUGGGAAUAUAAGAGGAGAAGAGACAACAAGCCAAAAUCCUAGACUAUUUUCUCUUAUUUCUCUCU
Molecule: long non-coding RNA, 204 nt
Filed under: Carica papaya (papaya)
Lineage: Eukaryota; Viridiplantae; Streptophyta; Magnoliopsida; Brassicales; Caricaceae
Description: long non-coding RNA (CPAP_LNC008237)
Source: RNAcentral